Molecule: ribosomal RNA, 479 nt
Filed under: Bifidobacterium adolescentis
Lineage: Bacteria; Bacillati; Actinomycetota; Actinomycetes; Bifidobacteriales; Bifidobacteriaceae
Description: bacterial SSU rRNA
Rfam family: Bacterial small subunit ribosomal RNA
Source: RNAcentral
UUCAUCGGUAUGGGAUGGGGUCGCGUCCUAUCAGCUUGAUGGCGGGGUAACGGCCCACCAUGGCUUCGACGGGUAGCCGGCCUGAGAGGGCGACCGGCCACAUUGGGACUGAGAUACGGCCCAGACUCCUACGGGAGGCAGCAGUGGGGAAUAUUGCACAAUGGGCGCAAGCCUGAUGCAGCGACGCCGCGUGCGGGAUGACGGCCUUCGGGUUGUAAACCGCUUUUGACUGGGAGCAAGCCCUUCGGGGUGAGUGUACCUUUCGAAUAAGCACCGGCUAACUACGUGCCAGCAGCCGCGGUAAUACGUAGGGUGCAAGCGUUAUCCGGAAUUAUUGGGCGUAAAGGGCUCGUAGGCGGUUCGUCGCGUCCGGUGUGAAAGUCCAUCGCUUAACGGUGGAUCCGCGCCGGGUACGGGCGGGCUUGAGUGCGGUAGGGGAGACUGGAAUUCCCGGUGUAACGGUGGAAUGUGUAGAUAUC